UUUGAGUCAUUUUUUCUCACCCAUUUUGUGACAGUAACAAAGUUUGGCUGACUGAGCGCUCAUGGGCUAGGAUGCAGCUGCCAGCUCCUGAAGCUACGGGCAAGUAAGAUUGAUGAAGCAGGAAUAUUCUUCUGAGAAGCAAAGCAUGCUGGGGGAAUUCUGCAGGGCCAAGGCAGCAAGAUCAAGUAACCCUGGAUUAAGACAUCUGAAGCUGUUUCUUGAAGCAAUGGAGA
Molecule: long non-coding RNA, 233 nt
Filed under: Mus spicilegus (steppe mouse)
Lineage: Eukaryota; Metazoa; Chordata; Mammalia; Rodentia; Muridae
Description: lncRNA (ENSMSIG00000005112.1)
Source: RNAcentral